UUGUUUUUGAAAACAGGAACUGGUUUAUUUGAGUUUGUUGUUGUCAAAGUCAGAGAGCCGUGUCUCUCUACAGUCAGAGGUUUUUGUACGACCACUCAGUCAGUUUGUAUCACUGUGGUACACGUUCGGUGGAGGAACCAGACUGGAAUUUGGAAGUGAUACUCGUCCCACCCUGACCGUGCUGCCCCCCUCCAGCGAGGAGCUGCAGCAGGGGAAGGCCACGCUCAUGUGCCUGGCCAACAAGGGCUUCCCCUCAGGCUGGAGUCUGGCCUGGAAGGUGGACGGCAGCAGCAGCAGCAGCAGCUGGGAGGAGACCAAGAGCCCCGGGGUGCUGGGGAAGGACGGCCUCUACAGCUGGAGCAGCACCCUGAGGCUCAAUGCAGACCAGUGGGGGAAGGUGGGCUCUGUGACCUGUGAGGCCACCCAGGGCUCCCAGACUCUGGUCUCAGAGACACUGAGGAGAGACCAGUGUUAGUCCUGAGCUGACUCACUGGGACUCUGCUGCUGGUUUUACUCUGCUACUGCUCUCACUCUGCUCUCUCUAACACUGUCUCUCUCUCUUUUAUUUCACGUUUCACUAGAAACAUUUACCAGCUUCUCGCAGUGUUUCAAUAUUGUUUCUGUGUUUCCAGAUAAUAAAAAUCUGUUCAUCAAA
Lates calcarifer (barramundi perch) is the source of this 655-nucleotide non-coding RNA. The record is from the annotation of a RefSeq genome assembly. Lineage: Eukaryota; Metazoa; Chordata; Actinopteri; Centropomidae.